GGGGGCGAUCGGUUUCGACUGGAACGUCAUUAGUCUGGGUUGCGUGUCGAGGUUGAAAUGAGGUCCUCGUAAAAAUCAUUUCAAGGCUUUAACUGCCGAUAAUAACUACCAACUCGCAGCCUAGUGCUGUGUCACCUUGAAGAAUCCCGCUUGUCGAUUCUCUUGGUGCUUGAUGACGAGCUAGCGACCAGACCCUGGCCCAGGGAAAGGAAGCGAAAUUUAAUGGGCUGGAUGUCGUAAAGCUUUGUCAGCUGUGCAUUGCGCCAUUGAGAUUUAACAGCCGAAUACACACGUAGAUGCUCUUGCUUAGGCCUCUUAGGACGCGGGUUCGAUUCCCGCCGCCUCCACCA
This 350-nucleotide transfer-messenger RNA is filed under the name Planctomycetota bacterium. It matches the Rfam family "transfer-messenger RNA". From Rfam's summary of the family: Bacterial tmRNA, also known as 10Sa RNA or SsrA, is named for its dual tRNA and mRNA-like properties. Its role is to liberate the mRNA from a stalled ribosome. To accomplish this part of the tmRNA is used as a reading frame that ends in a translation stop signal. The record is from RNAcentral. Lineage: Bacteria; Pseudomonadati; Planctomycetota.